Populus trichocarpa (black cottonwood) is the source of this 1425-nucleotide long non-coding RNA. RefSeq lists it as uncharacterized. NCBI's taxonomy places the organism in Eukaryota, Viridiplantae, Streptophyta, Magnoliopsida, Malpighiales, Salicaceae. The record is from RefSeq and is a predicted model, not a curated record. The transcript has 2 exons.
AUUCGUAAAUUUAUUUUUUGGUUCGUUAGAAAAAAAAACAAUUUAAAAAUAAAAUCUUUACCAGGUUGUAAUGAAGACUACUCUAUGUUACCGGGAUUCGAAGUCAACCUAUCGUGUCAAGUGGGAUAACUAUGAGAAAAACCUUCACAAUGAUAGAAAAACCUUUUUUCCAAAAUUCUUAAUUCUGAAAAUUAGCAGAUAGAUAUUUUCAGCACAUGCUGGAAUGUUCAUUUCUUGAUUUUUUAUUUUUUUUUUUCCACGUCAAAUACAAUUAUUGAUCACAGCUGGUCUGUUCGAUGAAACAUCUUUCUCUCUCAUACCCAAUUUCCUCCAAGAGAUAAGAUGGAGACAAGUGGACCAAUCCUGUCAGACAACAAGAUUCUGACUCGGUGUAUGAUUUUUUUUAUUUUUAAAAAUAAUUUUUGAUAUUAAUGUAUUAAAAUAAUUUAAAAUUAUUAAUUUUAAAAAAAUUAAAUUAAAAAAACAAAAACAAAAAAAACACUUAUCUUGUAAGAAAAAGGAGGGAGAAAAACAAGGAAAAAGGUUGUGCAAGUACAAUAUUGACCCCACCAUAAAAUAUAAUUAUAUUCACAUGGGCAGCGCCACCAUCUUGAUUUUUUGGUUUGUGGAGUCAGUUUUUUUUUAAUUAAAAUAUAAAAAAUAUGGAUUUAAAAUGAAUUUCUUUCAUUUCAAAACAAUAUUCCAAGUCAAUGAGCUGUCAUGUUAACGUUUAAGCUGGGACAAGGUCCACGUAGCUUUGUUACCAAACCCUCAAUGUUUACUAGUUGUUUUGAAAGACGUGUUGUUGGGGCUUGUUUAGUAUUAUGGUUAAAAUAUUAUUUAUUUAAAUUUUAUAUUUUUUCUUAAAAUUAUAUUAUUUUUAAAUUAUUUUAUUAUUUUGAUAUAUUUAUAAAAAAAAACAUUUUGAAUGUAUUGAUUUUUUAUUUUUUUUAAGUGCAAGCUCGUUCGUGUCUUUUUAUAGUUCGGCUCAGGUGAAAAAAAGAGGAAUAAGCAAUCAUAAAGAAAAAUGCUGCAAUCAUACGAGAGUGUCGAGCACACAGAAGCCCGCAUGAGAAUCCACACUGUAACAUACACAGGAAGAACGCUCGCAAAUCACCUUACUUGGCAGUGAAAAUAAACAUAGAUUUGCUUGGGAGGAGGAGCAAAAUCGAGAGGAAGAGGAGAGGUGGAUGUUUUUCUUUAUCUAGAGAAACUCAUGGUAAAGGAGAGCUGUCAAAGAAAAUACAGAUGGAGGACAACUGUUCUUUCAUGUUCAGACAACCAGCCAUGGACUCGCGAACAGAGUUUCAAGUUGAACAGUGACAAAAUUCAAUUAUAAAGCCAAAUUGCUUGAGAUACUAUUGGAGAUGCCCUCAUGUUAGGUCUCUGAAAUUGCUAUUAAUGCAUAAUUAGAUUUCCGAAGCA